Molecule: non-coding RNA, 113 nt
Organism: Acanthosepion pharaonis
Lineage: Eukaryota; Metazoa; Mollusca; Cephalopoda; Sepiida; Sepiidae
Source: the annotation of a GenBank genome assembly
UACAGUCAUAUCAUAUUGAAACACUGGUUCUCAUAUGAUUACUCAAGUUAAGCAAUGUCAGCCCUGAUCAGUACCUAAAUAGGUGACCACUUGGGAAUACCAGGUCCUGUAAG